This 862-nucleotide ribosomal RNA is filed under the name uncultured bacterium. Its description in RNAcentral is "bacterial SSU rRNA". It matches the Rfam family "Bacterial small subunit ribosomal RNA", at positions 53 to 904 of the family's 1533-position model. The record is from RNAcentral.
ACAUGCAGUCGAACGUGAAAGGAACUUCGGUUCCGAGUAAAGUGGCGCACGGGUGAGUAACACGUGGAUAAUCUACCCAUACGUUUGGAAUAACGGCUGGAAACGGUCGCUAAUACCGGAUACGCUCAUGGUGAAUAUUAUGGGGAAAGGGGGCCUCUGCAUAUGCUCCCGCGUAUGGAUGAGUCCGCGGCCCAUUAGCUUGUUGGCGGGGUAAAGGCCCACCAAGGCGACGAUGGGUAGCUGGUCUGAGAGGAUGACCAGCCACACUGGGACUGGAACACGGCCCAGACUCCUACGGGAGGCAGCAGUGGGGAAUAUUGCGCAAUGGGCGAAAGCCUGACGCAGCGACGCCGCGUGAGGGAUGAAGGCCUUCGGGUCGUAAACCUCUGUCAGAGGGGAAGAACCUGCGCCGUUCUAAUCAGCGGCGCACUGACGGUACCUUCAAAGGAAGCACCGGCUAACUCCGUGCCAGCAGCCGCGGUAAUACGGAGGGUGCGAGCGUUAAUCGGAAUCACUGGGCGUAAAGCGCGCGUAGGCUGUUUUGUAAGUCAGGGGUGAAAUCCCACCGCUCAACGGUGGAACUGCCUUUGAAACUGCGGGACUUGAGUACGGGAGAGGGUGGCGGAAUUCCAGGUGUAGGGGUGAAAUCCGUAGAUAUCUGGAGGAACACCGGUGGCGAAGGCGGCCACCUGGUCCGUAACUGACGCUGAGGCGCGAAAGCGUGGGUAGCAAACAGGAUUAGAUACCCUGGUAGUCCACGCUGUAAACGAUGGAUACUAGGUGCUGGGGAGUUAUUUUCGGUGCCGCAGCUAACGCGUUAAGUAUCCCGCCUGGGGAGUACGGUCGCAAGGCUGAAACUCAA